CUCUUUGUAAAAAAAAAAAAAAAAAAAGUUAAAUUUUAAAGCUGGUUACAACAAAACUGAAAGAAAUCAGAUCCUUAUCUGACUGCCUACCUGGAAGCUGAUGGAAACGUCAAGGAAGAAUACUAUCAGGUGAAAGGUUGAUUUCUCUCUGCAACCUUUUAUUUAAUCAGUCUCUUAUUUCAAACAGAGUAUGCCAAGAAUUCCAUAGGUUCUCAGGAAACAUGGCUUAAUGGCAGUGAUGAUGGCACUCAGAGAUGCUAACAUCCUCAUCAUUUUAGACUAAGUAGGUUCAUUUAUCAGCCAGUCUUAAGAGACCGCUCAAAUAUGACUGAGGAUCUCAUACAGAUGCCUAAUUAAGUCUAUUAACAUAACGAAGCCAUGAAAUGUUAUGAAUUAAAAGUGCUCUAAACACUGAAAUCAUCCUAACAAAAAUAAACAAAAUAACCUGU
Molecule: long non-coding RNA, 449 nt
Organism: Cebus imitator (Panamanian white-faced capuchin)
Lineage: Eukaryota; Metazoa; Chordata; Mammalia; Primates; Cebidae
Exons: 2
Source: RefSeq, a predicted model, not a curated record